AUGAGAGCCGACAACAGAGAUGAAGAAUUUUGUGAGCUGCUAGGAGCAGAGCAAGACUUGCUUAUUGCACUAAUGAAUGUGGAUUGUGGGACAGCUGACACCUCACUGAAAUCAGGCCUCUCAAGCACCCAGGAUUACCAUGGGACUCAGAAGGGAUGCAGAAGCAGCUCCAUGAGGCUGGAUAAGGGAAGCAGGACUGCCUGCCUAUUGAGUGGAUAUUGUGGUCAGUGCACCUUGAGCUCCAGGAAGCUGUGCAAAGCAGGGCCCCAGCUAGUCCCCUACAGCAGACUUGAGGCUGUGCAGCUUCCAGAGUAGAUGCCACACCAACAGGGCUCUUGUCACGGCCAGGCUGCUGGCAGUGUGUGACAGGGGGAUGCUUUGGGCACAAAGGUGGAACACGGUGCCCUGCCUGCUGGGUUGGAAUCCCAGGCAGACAAGUGUCACGCUGCAGGUAUGCACAUAGGGCACUCUGAGAGCUGCUCCUUAAUGAAUUGGUAGCAUGCCAGCCUUUGAUUGGCAUGAAGCAACCACAUGGGUUUUAAUCUCUUCCUCUGCACACAUAGUGACUAUUAAUGAGAGGAUUACUGUGAAGUGGCCUGAAACUAAAUGGCAUGUGUAGAAUCUCAUGGCUACGUAAGUCACAGGCAGACUUGGAUAGCACAAGAAAGGGGCAGCCUUCUUCACAUUUUCCAGAAAGAAAUGUGAAGAUCAAAUACUCAGAGUCAAACUCUUGCACGGAGGUACCCAAACUCAUAACGAACAUCAGCUCUAAAAUUCCAGUUGCCACUGCCAGUAUGUGAAUACCUCGCAUGGGUGUCACCUUGUUCCUAUAGCACCGAAAGUCUAGUGAUGGGAGAGGUGAUCCCAUCAGCUAAGGCAGCUGACAAGCCAGUGCCUUCUGCAGAUCUGAUCAUAAAAAAUGUUGUAAACAAGCACGUGCCUGGGUUUACCCUGUAGGACAAUAUAAUACCCAGCUAUGGAACUGCAGGGUCACUGCUUGCCAAAAUAAGACUGAAUAAGCUGAUGCUUUGCAGGUACUCCAUGCUCACCCUCAUCUCCCGAGCACAUUCUGCAGCACUUCGUAGUUAAGGUUACACAGACACUCAGCAAAACAGGAUCCCUUCCACUGGGGUGAGGGGAGCAGAGAGAUGGCUGCUAGCUGCCAGCCUAGAGUGGAAAGUGAGUCACGGUCAUAAAAUAGGUCAUUUCCACUCCGUGUGAACGCUCUCGCAUAGUAUUCAGGUUGAUUUCUGUAACAACGAACAGCCUGGGCUCAGGUUUGCUUCUGGACUUGCUGCUUCUGCUGCAGAUAAGC
This 1315-nucleotide long non-coding RNA is filed under the name Phasianus colchicus (ring-necked pheasant). RNAcentral's name for it is "lncRNA (ENSPCLG00000003247.1)". The record is from RNAcentral. Lineage: Eukaryota; Metazoa; Chordata; Aves; Galliformes; Phasianidae.